CAGCAAAACCCAAAACCCUGCUGCUCAGCCACCACCGACCGCCUCCCUCCACAACCGCGGGUGACCACCUGCGUGCUGCGCAACCACCAACCACAGAACCCUCACCGUCGCAACUCCCUCCCUUCCUCUCUUCCUCUUUCAAUUCGCACGGAGUUAUCCCUCCUCCUUUGCGUGCUUCUCUCACCACCACCGACAGCAAUCCCAGCAGCCACCGAGCUUUCGACUGCCGGCGACCAAUCACUCGACCACCGGUCGUCCUCCGUCGCAACCACCGAGGCUCACCACCAAUCCCGCCGGCCACCUGCGCCGCCUGCCACCGCCGAGCAGUAGCACCGCAAUUUCUCUGCUGACGCCGGCAGUCUCUCUCCUCCUCUCCUUUUGGCGGAGAAUUCUUUGUAGGCGACUUUGAAUUCGUUAAAGUAGCCUAUCAGUUUGUUUACACAAGUCUCUAAGGAUCAAUAAACAUUGUCCAUAUGCAGGUUUGAAGAUGUUGCAUCAUUGGGAUCGGGAAUAGAUAGCUUGUAUUUAGUUUUGAUUUGCUAAGUUGACUUGGGUUUGUUUAAUUGGACUUUAAACUUGUCGUACUAUUUAUAUUUCCUUAUUUUCUUUGGUUGAUUUUUGGGACUAAACCUGUAAUCGAUUAUUUAUAAACCUAAAUUUAGUUUUAUG
This is a long non-coding RNA of Spinacia oleracea (spinach), 669 nucleotides long. RefSeq lists it as uncharacterized. The record is from RefSeq and is a predicted model, not a curated record. The transcript is spliced from 4 exons. Lineage: Eukaryota; Viridiplantae; Streptophyta; Magnoliopsida; Caryophyllales; Amaranthaceae.